Molecule: transfer RNA, 72 nt
Filed under: Bos taurus (domestic cattle)
Lineage: Eukaryota; Metazoa; Chordata; Mammalia; Artiodactyla; Bovidae
Also listed under: 5 other names
Rfam family: tRNA
About the family: Transfer RNA (tRNA) molecules are approximately 80 nucleotides in length.
Source: Rfam by way of RNAcentral
UCCCUGGUGGUCCAUGGUUAAGACUCUGCACUUCCAAUGCAGAGGGCAGAGGUUCGAUCCCUGGCUGGGGAA